RNAcentral lists this ribosomal RNA (700 nucleotides) under uncultured bacterium. RNAcentral describes it as "bacterial SSU rRNA". It matches the Rfam family "Bacterial small subunit ribosomal RNA", at positions 113 to 849 of the family's 1533-position model. The record is from RNAcentral.
ACGCGUGGGAAUGUGCCCUUCUCUACGGAAUAGUCCCGGGAAACUGGGUUUAAUACCGUAUACGCCCUUCGGGGGAAAGAUUUAUCGGAGAAGGAUCAGCCCGCGUCUGAUUAGGUAGUUGGUGGGGUAAUGGCCUACCAAGCCUACGAUCAGUAGCUGGUUUUAGAGGAUGAUCAGCCACACUGGGACUGAGACACGGCCCAGACUCCUACGGGAGGCAGCAGUGGGGAAUCUUAGACAAUGGGCGCAAGCCUGAUCUAGCCAUGCCGCGUGAGUGAUGAAGGCCUUAGGGUCGUAAAACUCUUUCGCCAGGGAUGAUAAUGACAGUACCUGGUAAAGAAGCCCCGGCUAACUCCGUGCCAGCAGCCGCGGUAAUACGGAGGGGGCUAGCGUUGUUCGGAAUUACUGGGCGUAAAGCGCGCGUAGGCGGACUAUUAAGUCAGGGGUGAAAUCCCGGGGCUCAACCCCGGAACUGCCUUUGAUACUGGUAGUCUUGAGUUCGAGAGAGGUGAGUGGAAUUCCGAGUGUAGAGGUGAAAUUCGUAGAUAUUCGGAGGAACACCAGUGGCGAAGGCGGCUCACUGGCUCGAUACUGACGCUGAGGUGCGAAAGUGUGGGGAGCAAACAGGAUUAGAUACCCUGGUAGUCCACACCGUAAACGAUGAAUGCCAGUCGUCGGCAAGCAUGCUUGUCGGUGACAC